Molecule: ribosomal RNA, 119 nt
Filed under: Pteropus alecto (black flying fox)
Lineage: Eukaryota; Metazoa; Chordata; Mammalia; Chiroptera; Pteropodidae
Source: RNAcentral
GUCUACGGCCAUGCCACCCUGAACAAGCCCGAUCCCAUCUGAUCUCAGAAGCUAAGCAGGGUCGGGUUUGGUUAGUACUUGGAUGGGAGACCACCUAGGAAGACCAGGUGCUGUAGGCA